Non-coding RNA from Odocoileus virginianus texanus, 925 nucleotides. NCBI's taxonomy places the organism in Eukaryota, Metazoa, Chordata, Mammalia, Artiodactyla, Cervidae. The record is from RefSeq and is a predicted model, not a curated record.
UCACCCUCUGUCGAAGUAUCUGAGGAUCAUCAAAUGAGAUCAACAAAGGAGCCCUGCUUUGGUUUGGCAACUGGAGGCUGGUGAGGCUCUCUCACUAGCCAGGCGCUGGCUUUGGCUCAGGAGCUCAGAAGCCCAAGAGCAAACAGCCAUAUGUCAUGAACCUUCAUGAGCACUUCCAAAUAGUUGAAACCAAGAACCUUCAAAUGAUGAGGCAAGACUAUGAACGUCAAGGUCAGCUGUGGGGACUGCUCCUGACAGGCCGGGAUGCCCUGUGAUAGGCAGAACAGAAGCUGAAGUAGCUCUGUGGAAUGCAUACGAUCCAAGUGCAGAAAACUCAGAGAGAGCGGAGUCCAAAGGAGCCAUUUUACACUGUGCGGUCUUCAGAAACCGAGGCCCGCUCAGUCGUGAAGACAAACAUGGCGGAUUCUCCGAGAAGACGGAGCGCAGCUGUGACCAAGAUGGCCGGUCGAUCGCAGCGUGCCGGGAUUGAUUGAUUCUCCCACGGGCUCCGCCGGAGAACCAACCUGCUGCCUCAGCACUGAGCAUGUAACUCCCCAUGAGCAAGACUGCCUUCUUGCUUACACUCAGGAAAAACAAAAUUUAUACCACCACCAAAACUAGGAUUGACAGAUCAUCUAAUGAAAAGUGUAGACAAACUCCAUGAAUGGCAUGGCAGGCAGAACUGGGUGGAGGCAACACCUACCUACAACAGUCUUCACCUCAAGCACGUCCAGGAUUCAGUUCAGGAAACUGACAGCACAUAAAAGACGUUGGAAGAUAUGUUGUAUUAAUAUAUCCCUGCAGUCUGCUCUCUCCUUCUGGGACCCAGGAUCUGAACACUGCAACGACCAGAGAAUUACACUGGAGUUCUUUGUGAUUCCACUCCCAUCCCAGUCCCCUUUUAAUCUAUAUUCAUUGAGAGAUA